AGUGAACGCUGGCGGUAGGCCUAACACAUGCAAGUCGAACGGCAGCACAGGAGAGCUUGCUCUCUGGGUGGCGAGUGGCGGACGGGUGAGGAAUACAUCGGAAUCUACUCUGUCGUGGGGGAUAACGUAGGGAAACUUACGCUAAUACCGCAUACGACCUACGGGUGAAAGCAGGGGAUCUUCGGACCUUGCGCGUUUGAAUGAGCCGUUGUCGGAUUAGCUAGUUGGCGGGGUAAAGGCCCACCAAGGCGACGAUCCGUAGCUGGUCUGAGAGGAUGAUCAGCCACACUGGAACUGAGACACGGUCCAGACUCCUACGGGAGGCAGCAGUGGGGAAUAUUGGACAAUGGGCGCAAGCCUGAUCCAGCCAUACCGCGUGGGUGAAGAAGGCCUUCGGGUUGUAAAGCCCUUUUGUUGGGAAAGAAAUCCAGCUCCCUAAUACCCGGUUGGGAUGACGGUACCCAAAGAAUAAGCACCGGCUAACUUCGUGCCAGCCGCCGCCGUAA
RNAcentral lists this ribosomal RNA (506 nucleotides) under uncultured bacterium. RNAcentral describes it as "partial 16S ribosomal RNA". It matches the Rfam family "Bacterial small subunit ribosomal RNA", at positions 29 to 523 of the family's 1533-position model. The record is from RNAcentral.